UAGACACUGUAACAUCUUGUAGAGCUCAAGGGCCCGUAUCUAGGGUUUCUCUCACUCUCUCUGUCUUUCUGCAGCAAAAGCAAAUUUUAGAGAGUGCUGCAGAUUGCCCUUGCAAUGACGACCGUCGUUCCUACCUCCGAAGAAGAUCCGGCCCUCGCCGUCGUCCGCUUCACCUCUGAGCUUGCCUGGGCCGACGCGGGUCCUGAGGUUGCGGAGCAACAAGUUUCUAGGCUUUGUUUGGAAGCUCAAGAAUGUAUGGUGAUGGCCAGAUGGCUGGACUUGUCCUCUUUAAUGCUUACUUCAGCUGACUUGAUAUUCUCCAACUCUAAAGUGUCAGAAAAAGAUCUAGAGUGUAUCUUCACUGUUAUCUGCAAUCUUGUCUCCAAGUCUGAAAGUCCAGAUGACGCACUUGAGAUGGCAAAACUUAUAUGUGGAAAAGUUAUUCAGCAACCAACUGACAAGCCUGCGUUGCGAUUGAAGAUCUUGUUCAACCUGUACAAUCUUCUGGAGAAUACAUACAGCCGGUUCUAUGUUUACAUGAAGGCUCUAAAUUUAGCAGUGAGUGGAAAAGUUACUGAGCAUGUCAUCCCUUCUUUCAAAAAGAUUGAUAGCUUCUUGAAAGAGUGGAAUCUUGAGGUGAAGGAUCAGAGGGAUCUUUUUCUUGGAAUUUCUAAUGUACUGAGAGAGAGUAAGAGCUCAGGAAAGGAUGCUUUCAAAUUCUUGACCAAGUAUUUAGCAACCUUCUCUGGUGAGGACGCAUAUACAAUGGCUGAAGCCAAGGAGGAAGCUGUGUGCACAAUUAUUGAAUUUGUCAGGGCAACUCACAUGUUUCAGUGUGACCUGCUUGAUAUGCCUGCUGUGGGGCAGUUGGAAAAGGACGCUAAAUAUGCAUUGGUGUAUCAGCUUUUGAAGAUCUUUCUGACUCAGAGGCUAGAUGCCUAUUUAGAGUUUCAGGCUGCUAAUUCUGCUUUGCUGAAAAGCUAUGGUCUUGUUCAUGAGGAUUGUAUAGCGAAGAUGAGAUUGAUGUCAUUGGUGGAUCUUGCCUCGGAUGGAUCUGGUCGAAUUCCAUAUGCUCUUAUCAAGGAUACUCUUCGAAUUAAUGAGGAUGAGGUGGAAUUAUGGGUAGUGAAGGCAAUAACUGCCAAGUUAAUUAAUUGUAAAAUGGACCAGAUGACUCAAUUUGUGCUUGUUAGUAACUGUACUGAGCGUGUAUUUGGCCAGCAUCAGUGGCUGACACUUAGAGUUAAACUGGCUACUUGGAGGGUAAAAUUUCGUGACUAAAGAAUAUCUUUUUACCUUCUCUAUAGUGGCAUGCACCCCCUGCAUUUUAGCGCUCGAAGGCAGUAGUUUUGUAUUGGGUAAUAUUGCGAAUACGCUAAACACCAUCCAAGCUAACAAGGUAACUGAAGAUGGAUCACAGGCGAUGCAAGGGUUGAUGAUUCGUUAGGUCCUUUUAGACAUUAGUUCCAAGGAGAAUUUGUGUGGAUUAUGGAGAGGAUACGAUUUUAUGCUAUGUUUUAGUUUGUUGUUUUUUUUUUUCAAGUUAAGAGCCAAGUGUAUUGGAAAUUUUGACACAGAUGUCUUGAUAAUCUAGCAUGCUGAAUGAUCUUCCAGCCUA
This is an RNA transcript of Manihot esculenta (cassava), 1618 nucleotides long. It is a transcript of the gene named eukaryotic translation initiation factor 3 subunit M, with no coding region annotated. The record is from RefSeq and is a predicted model, not a curated record. The transcript has 10 exons. NCBI's taxonomy places the organism in Eukaryota, Viridiplantae, Streptophyta, Magnoliopsida, Malpighiales, Euphorbiaceae.